Molecule: ribosomal RNA, 568 nt
Filed under: uncultured bacterium
Lineage: Bacteria
Description: bacterial SSU rRNA
Rfam family: Bacterial small subunit ribosomal RNA
Source: RNAcentral
UCCUACGGGAGGCAGCAGUGGGGAAUUUUCCGCAAUGGGCGAAAGCCUGACGGAGCAACGCCGCGUGAGGGAUGAAGGCCUCUGGGCUGUAAACCUCUUUUAUCAAGGAAGAAGAUCUGACGGUACUUGAUGAAUAAGCCACGGCUAAUUCCGUGCCAGCAGCCGCGGUAAUACGGGAGUGGCAAGCGUUAUCCGGAAUUAUUGGGCGUAAAGCGUCCGCAGGCGGCCCUUCAAGUCUGCUGUUAAAAAGUGGAGCUUAACUCCAUCAUGGCAGUGGAAACUGUUGGGCUUGAGUGUGGUAGGGGCAGAGGGAAUUCCCGGUGUAGCGGUGAAAUGCGUAGAUAUCGGGAAGAACACCAGUGGCGAAGGCGCUCUGCUGGGCCAUCACUGACGCUCAUGGACGAAAGCCAGGGGAGCGAAAGGGAUUAGAUACCCCUGUAGUCCUGGCCGUAAACGAUGAACACUAGGUGUCGGGGGAAUCGACCCCCUCGGUGUCGUAGCCAACGCGUUAAGUGUUCCGCCUGGGGAGUACGCACGCAAGUGUGAAACUCAAAGGAAUUGACGGGGA